GCGGGCGUAGCUCAGCUGGUAGAGCUCCGGAUUGUGAUUCCGGUGGUCGAGGGUUCAAACCCCUUCGCUCGCCCCA
Molecule: transfer RNA, 76 nt
Filed under: Deltaproteobacteria bacterium
Lineage: Bacteria; Pseudomonadati; Myxococcota; Myxococcia
Description: tRNA-His
Rfam family: tRNA
About the family: Transfer RNA (tRNA) molecules are approximately 80 nucleotides in length.
Source: RNAcentral